UACGUGGGGUGCAAGCGUUAAUCGGAAUUACUGGGCGUAAAGCGUGCGCAGGCGGUGAUGUAAGACAGAUGUGAAAUCCCCGGGCUCAACCUGGGAACUGCAUUUGUGACUGCAUCGCUGGAGUGCGGCAGAGGGGGAUGGAAUUCCGCGUGUAGCAGUGAAAUGCGUAGAUAUGCGGAGGAACACCGAUGGCGAAGGCAAUCCCCUGGGCCUGCACUGACGCUCAUGCACGAAAGCGUGGGGAGCAAACAGG
RNAcentral lists this ribosomal RNA (253 nucleotides) under uncultured bacterium. RNAcentral describes it as "partial 16S ribosomal RNA". It matches the Rfam family "Bacterial small subunit ribosomal RNA", at positions 524 to 776 of the family's 1533-position model. The record is from RNAcentral.